RNAcentral lists this non-coding RNA (24 nucleotides) under Cricetulus griseus (Chinese hamster). The record is from RNAcentral. Lineage: Eukaryota; Metazoa; Chordata; Mammalia; Rodentia; Cricetidae.
UGAGAAGUUGCUAGGGUAGACUGA